GAUGAACGCUGGCGGCAGGCUUAACACAUGCAAGUCGAACGCGUGUAGCAAUACACGAGUGGCGCUCGGGUGAGUAACGCGUGGAUAUCUGCCUUUUGGUUCGGAAUAACCCCGGGAAACUGGGGCUAAUACCGGAUGGUUCCUUCGGGAUAAAGAUUUAUCGCCAAAAGAUGAGUCCGCGUCCGAUUAGCUAGUUGGUGAGGUAAUGGCUCACCAAGGCGACGAUCGGUAGCUGGUCUGAGAGGACGAUCAGCCACACUGGGGCUGAGACACGGCCCAGACUCCUACGGGAGGCAGCAGUGGGGAAUAUUGGACAAUGGGGGCAACCCUGAUCCAGCCAUGCCGCGUGAGUGAUGAAGGCCUUCGGGUUGUAAAGCUCUUUUGGCGGGGACGAUGAUGACGGUACCCGCAGAAUAAGCCCCGGCUAACUUCGUGCCAGCAGCCGCCGUAA
This 451-nucleotide ribosomal RNA is filed under the name uncultured bacterium. RNAcentral describes it as "partial 16S ribosomal RNA". It matches the Rfam family "Bacterial small subunit ribosomal RNA", at positions 28 to 523 of the family's 1533-position model. The record is from RNAcentral.